This 253-nucleotide ribosomal RNA is filed under the name uncultured bacterium. RNAcentral's name for it is "partial 16S ribosomal RNA". It matches the Rfam family "Bacterial small subunit ribosomal RNA", at positions 524 to 776 of the family's 1533-position model. The record is from RNAcentral.
UACGUAGGGUCCGAGCGUUGUCCGGAAUUACUGGGCGUAAAGAGCUCGUAGGUGGUUUGUCGCGUUGUUCGUGAAAACUCACAGCUCAACUGUGGGCGUGCGGGCGAUACGGGCAGACUAGAGUACUGCAGGGGAGACUGGAAUUCCUGGUGUAGCGGUGGAAUGCGCAGAUAUCAGGAGGAAUACCGGUGGCGAAAGCGACUCUCUGGACGGUAACUGACGCUGAGGCACGAAAGCGUGGGGAGCAAACAGG